Molecule: ribosomal RNA, 326 nt
Filed under: uncultured eukaryote
Lineage: Eukaryota
Description: partial 18S ribosomal RNA
Rfam family: Eukaryotic small subunit ribosomal RNA
Source: RNAcentral
CCCUUAGAUGUUCUGGGCCGCACGCGCGCUACACUGAUGCAUUCAACAAGCCUAUCCUUGACCGAGAGGUCCGGGUAAUCUUUGAAAAUGCAUCGUGAUGGGGCUAGAUUAUUGCAAUUAUUAAUCUUCAACGAGGAAUGCCUAGUAAGCGUGAUUCAUCAGAUCGCGUUGAUUACGUCCCUGCCCUUUGUACGCACCGCCCGUCGCUCCUACCGAUUGAGUGUGUUGGUGAGGAGUUCGGAUUGGCAAUUGCUGGUGGUUCGCCAUGAGUUAAUGCUGAGAAGUCCUCCAAACCGCCCCACUUAGAGGAAGGAGAAGUCGUAACA